RNAcentral lists this long non-coding RNA (945 nucleotides) under Nicotiana tabacum (common tobacco). RNAcentral's name for it is "long non-coding RNA (NTAB_LNC014543)". Lineage: Eukaryota; Viridiplantae; Streptophyta; Magnoliopsida; Solanales; Solanaceae. The record is from RNAcentral.
UUUUUGGCAGAACACUGUGUCGAAGGAUAAGAAGAAAGAUGAACACACUGCAAAUCCUAAAAUCAUCAAAUGCCCCGUUAUUAUGAGUUUACUUCUUUUUUAAAAAAAAAAACUAAAACCACAACCCAUUAAUGUUUCCACAAGUUUUUAAUUUCUAACAAACAACACAUGGACCAUUAUUACUAAUCACCUCAUGAUUCAAUAAAACUUUGCAAUGUCCAUGAAACGGAGAAGAUGCAGUAAACGAACAUGAGACAACACCAAACCAAAUAUAAGACACUCAAAAAUAAUUAAGCUAAAAGCAAAUGAAAUAUACAAAGCAAAAGGGAAAAUAUUUACAAGAAACUAAACAGAAAAAUAAAUCAAAGCAUUAAUUAAUAGACAUUCCAACUAAAACAAGCUUAAUACCAUUGAAAUAGAAGAUGGAGAAACAGACCUACCUCAAACCAAACUUUAUUUACGAGGAAAAUUCAAGCAAAGUUUUGUACAUAUAUGAUGAUUGUUCAGCUGUCAAAGACCAAAACAGCAAUCAUUUUGGAGCCAAAAACGCGAACAGGAUUUCGAACCGGAACUAUAGCGUCACUCAAAACAUCGACCAAAUUUCGGCAAAUUUUCAGCUGGAUUUAGAGGUCCCACGGCAGACUGGUUUUUGUUAUUUUGCUGAGUUUUCGAAGGUGAAAGGAGAUGGCUAGAGAUGGUAAAAUUAUGGCAAAACGCUGGCAGGAAUGAGCUAGUAAAAAAUGAUUUUAUGGCUUUAAAUAGACUGGUUUUUAGAAGCGGAACAUAGCUUGAUUAAUGCGAUGCUGUAAUAGCUGCUUUGUGUACUACAUUGGAGUCACGUUCAUGGAGUUCAGGUGGUUUAAUAGAGGAAAAAUGAUAGGUUUAUACAAUCAAAUCUAAUCUUAUGAAGAAUAGAGGAAAUUGCGGUGCAUUUCUUUGUCCAGC